This 253-nucleotide ribosomal RNA is filed under the name uncultured bacterium. RNAcentral's name for it is "partial 16S ribosomal RNA". It matches the Rfam family "Bacterial small subunit ribosomal RNA", at positions 524 to 776 of the family's 1533-position model. The record is from RNAcentral.
UACGUAGGGGGCGAGCGUUGUCCGGAAUGAUUGGGCGUAAAGGGCGCGUAGGCGGCCCGGUAAGUCUGGAGUGAAAGUCAUGCUUUUAAGGUGGGAAUUGCUUUAGAUACUGUCGGGCUUGAGUGCAGGAGAGGUAAGUGGAAUUCCCAGUGUAGCGGUGAAAUGCGUAGAGAUUGGGAGGAACACCAGUGGCGAAGGCGACUUACUGAACUGUAACUGACGCUGAGGCGCGAAAGUGUGGGGAGCAAACAGG